UUUCGAAUACCUUUGAAUAACUUAAACAAGCUCAUGCAUUGAUCCCAACAAGAAGAUGUUAGAUAUAAAUCAUCAACAUGGUAAGUUCUAUAAAAAUCAACUAAAUAUUCUAUAUGCUCCAAUGUAGAAUGCAACAUAUCAUAUGUAGAGUUCCAUCUAGUAGUGUAACAACCCGAAAAAAAAAGAUCCCAAAAUCAAAAUUUUAAUGUCUGAUGCGUCCAACAAAAGUCUAACAAAAUUUAAUUUAAUACAUCCUUUGUUCUAAAGAAAAUCGGGUACAUCAACGAGAGCAGCUCCGAACUGGAAUUGGAUUUUCCUGCACCAAAUCAAACAAAUAAGCAAAUAAUUUUUUUUUUCUAAAUGAUUAAUCUAAUGCAAGAAAAUAGCAACUAAAUCUGAUGCAGAUCCUUUAGGAUCAAUCUUCUGACAUAUCAUUUAUUACUGCAUUUAAUGAAAGGAGAGAAUUUCAAAUCUACUGACAAAGGAGAAUGAUUAGGAGAGAAUGUUAGCAACUUGCUGCCUUGCUACCUACGCCACUUUCACAGCCAUCUUUUAUACAUAUAGAUACAAUCACUUUCACCACCCUAAUCUCCUCUUUCCAUACCGCCACUCCUCCAUAUUAGUUCAUUCACAAUCAAGUUCCAUCCCCACAAGUUGCUCCACUAAAAUCAGCAAGAAGUUUCAAGAACAUGGCUGAUAUUCUUCUUAUCUCAAUCGAAACAAAUUCAAGAAACUGAGAGCUCAAUCAAUUGAAUUACAGAAACUGAAUCUGCAAAAAUCCAGUGGGCUACUCCUUUCGGUUCUACAAUUUCACAACUAAUAUCGUGUUAUCAAGGGAAUUGUUCUGUGAGACUCCAAUCCGGAAAGAGGAAAUACUCAAGUGCGACACCUUUAAGCGGACGAGGUUGAGCGGUGACGAACGCAGUGGGUGUUGAGCAUAAAAGUAAAGAAGAUGUCUAUGAAAGGUUCAGAAUGUGUUGUGUCUUCAUACAUGACAUUAUUCUACUCUCGAAAUACAUCCGCUGAGCAAUUGUCCUUCUUCUGAGUUCUUGUAUCGUUGAGAUAAUAUUUAUUCUUGAGUUGUUGAUUGUUGAGAUGCUCUGGUUUUAUUCGAACUAUUCUCAUUCGUUUCGAGCUA
Molecule: long non-coding RNA, 1138 nt
Organism: Salvia splendens (bonfire salvia)
Lineage: Eukaryota; Viridiplantae; Streptophyta; Magnoliopsida; Lamiales; Lamiaceae
Exons: 3
Source: RefSeq, a predicted model, not a curated record